RNAcentral lists this unclassified non-coding RNA (338 nucleotides) under soil metagenome. RNAcentral describes it as "partial contains 5.8S ribosomal RNA, internal transcribed spacer 2, and large subunit ribosomal RNA". The stretch from base 1 to 120 matches the Rfam family "5.8S ribosomal RNA", at positions 35 to 154 of the family's 154-position model. The record is from RNAcentral.
GAUGAAGAACGUAGCGAAAUGCGAUAAGUAGUGUGAAUUGCAGAAUUCAGUGAAUCAUCGAAUCUUUGAACGCACAUUGCGCCCUUUGGUAUUCCAAAGGGCAUGCCUGUUCGAGCGUCAUUUGUACCCUCAAGCUUUGCUUGGUGUUGGGCGUCUUGUCUCUAGCUUUGCUGGAGACUCGCCUUAAAGUAAUUGGCAGCCGGCCUACUGGUUUCGGAGCGCAGCACAAGUCGCACUCUCUAUCAGCAAAGGUCUAGCAUCCAUUAAGCCUUUUUUUCAACUUUUGACCUCGGAUCAGGUAGGGAUACCCGCUGAACUUAAGCAUAUCAAUAAGCGGA